Long non-coding RNA from Mirounga angustirostris (Northern elephant seal), 8474 nucleotides. RefSeq lists it as uncharacterized. The transcript has 3 exons. NCBI's taxonomy places the organism in Eukaryota, Metazoa, Chordata, Mammalia, Carnivora, Phocidae. The record is from RefSeq and is a predicted model, not a curated record.
AUGAAUUCACUACGACCGUCUGGUCCUUUUAGUCAUCAGCAAGUCUGUAAAAGGAGUCGGUGAGAAACAGAAUCAGAGAGGCGGAAAGUGUGGGGGAGGGCUCGCGCAGGGAGAGCGAAAGGGACUGGUGUCUAAGUCUGGCAAGCAGACAGGCUACGGGGAAGGCGACCUGGUACCCGAGAAAAAGACGUUCGGAAAUGAGACGGUCCAAGUGCGGGACCGCGGCGGAGGCGGCGCGGAGUCCGGCGGGGCCAGCCUUUGUUGCUUUCCCACUUCCCCCGAAUUGUAAGCACAGGUUCCAUGCCCAGCAUGGAGCCCAGUGUGGAGUCCAACAUGGAGCCCAAUGUGGAGCCCAAUGUGGAACCCAACAUGGGGCUCGAACUCACAAGCCCGAGGUCAAGACCUGAACGGAGAUCAAGAGUUGGAUGCUUAACCAACUGAGCCACCCAGAGCUGUUGUUUGGAAGACGGUUGGCUGAAGUCCUCAACUAAAACCCUAAAUGGUGGAUUUUCCUGUGCUGUCAAUACUGAAGAAGUUGAGACUAGAGGAUCUCUAAGAACACUCCCAACUCUUAUAACCUACACUUUUUUAAUGAGCUUUAUGCCUUUUUUGCUUUUACCCCUGUUAUGUAGCCACCAGAUAAUAUUGCCCCCAGACCCUUUUCUCCUCCGGCUACUUCUUUAAGUCACUGUUCAACCUUUAACACUGAGGAACUUAGGAAGAAAGAGAAACUUUCAAAGUGGGAGAAUGAGAGCAAUUCAUUCACUGUUUAAUAAAUACUUACAGAUUUCUUACCAUGUGUUGGACUAACCACAAGUAGACAGACUAACCAAGUCAUCAUAAGCAUGACUAUAGAUAAAGAUCAGGAAGUUUCCCUGUAACAAAGGACUGAAGACCUGACCAAGGAGUCACAACAAGCUUCUCUCCGGAAGAACCAACACCUGAGCUGAGAUCUGAGGAGGAAUAGGGGUUACACAGUGAAAGAAGGUGGGUGAGCAAAAGCAUUCACAGGGGUCCUGUAGCAGGAGGAAGCACAGUGUGUUCAGGAGCUUGGAGGCAAGGGGAUACAUCAUCCCCUGAGAUAGUUAGGAGAAAACAGACAGGACUUGGUAAUGAUUUGGAUAACUGGCAAGAGUUCUCUCUCAUAUUACUUGCUACUCUCUUCCUCCCUCUUUCUUUCCUAGCAGAGAAUACUUCAGCCAGGCAUUGUUUUAGCACUAUGUAUUAACUCAACGAUAGCCCAAUGAGUAUGUGGUAGAAUACAUGAACUCAGGACCCUACUUGAAAAACCUCCUCUUAGACCUUUUCUGCCCCUCGUAUACUGAGCUAUCCUUAAGAUAGCAGACAGUUUUUGUAGGGACAAGCCCAGGGUUAUUUGAGAAAAGAAACAAACAAAAAAGAUAGGGGUAUGCAAAUGUGUUUUGCUCAUGCUGAGUCCCAAGGCAUGGGAUUUAGGGAGAAAACUACUGAAAACCACAACCUAUUCAUGUGUUAUUUAUUUAAUUGUGAUGUAUAGUAUUUAUCGAGUGCAUAUUGUACCAGGUACUGUUCUGAACACUUUCAAAUACUAGUUUAUUUAAUCUUCACACCUACAUUAUUAUUAUGGCCAUUUUACAAAUGAGAAAACCAAGAGAAAUCUCCAAAGAAGUACAGCUAUUAGCAGUAAUGGGAAGUGGGAGCAGAUCCCACCACGGGGCAGUCUGUCUUCCAAGGCCACACCCUUAAGCACUAGGCAUCACUUGCUCAUUUGCAUGACUGCCAAAGCCUUGCUACCUCCUAAAAUUAUUCUCUGCUUCCUUCUCUAAAAGACUGCCUUAUUUACAUUAGGGAAGAAAGAUCCUCAUGACAAACAUAGUCACUGAAUUAAGAGGAAAACAGGGAAACUCUGGUGGACCUCUCUGUAAGAACAAUGACUGAAAUUGCCUUUUCUUCAACAAAUGAGAAUAUGGAAGUCAUUUUGUGGCCAAUGAACAUAAAAUACUUAAGAUAUGCACCAAUCUACCAUGUAACUCUAGAUUCCUGAAAUUGGUAGUAUGAAAAUAGCUCCAAGGCUGCUUCUGAGCAGGGAUUAUAGUUAAUCCUACACCACUAAAGUAAUUACAGUAGAAAAAAGAAGGACUAUUUUCAAUAAAGUUGCAGAAUUUCUCUGAUUUGCAUUAAGCAUUUGUCAUUUUCUUGGCAUAUGUUUUUCCUUUCAUCACCGAACUGUCUGAGAAACCACAUGUUUCAAGUCUGCCUCACUCUCAUUUGGGUUCAAAUCAAAUUCCACAGUGUUCUUUUGGAAGAAGGGGUUUCCCUGAAGUUGAAGAGUUUCCUCCACUUUUGUUGAGAUCUAAAGAAGCAGGAAUUUCAGUUCCUCUCAUCACUUUAAUCACUUUCUUGCUACUUUCUUCGUCGAUCUUACUCCCUUCUGGCAGAUAAAGCAUUUCUGUUGUGUUUUCUACGUGCCAACCACUGUUCUAAGCACUGUACACUUACUAACUCAACAACACCCUAUCAGUAUAUGGCAGAGUAUAUGGGUCUAAAUGCAGAGAGGUUGGAAGUCAGCGCAGUGAAAGCAUAUAAAAGAUCUCUUCUAAGUGCUUCUAGUCUCUCUGUAAAUGAGAAACAGACUAUACUCAUUUUACAGAUGAGGAACCUAAAGCACACAGAGAGCAAGCAGUUUGUUCAAGACCACAUAGCUGCAAAGUGGCAGAACCAUGAUUCAGAUCCUAGCAGUCUGACUGCAGAGUCCAUGACUCUUAGACUCACACGCUACCGCAAAACUCCUCCUUGGUUAAAUUCAACUCUGUACUUCCCCCUGCCUGUCCUUGGGAAGUUGAACAUAAUUGAACAAAAAUGAUCAUGCUGAUUGUUCUCCUUUCACAUUCAGGCCUUGGCAUAGCCCUAAAAGCCUGCUUUACUUUCCACGUCAGUUCAUUUGUGGAUCAUUUCAUACCUUCUCGCUCUUCAAACCUUUGCUGCCACUUCUCCAAUCUUCACUCUGCUGAGGACUUAUUUCCCAUUUCAUUGAGAAGAAAGAAACAAUCAGAAGAGAACUUCCAUGUGCUCCCACCAACACAUCUACUGAUCUACUUGCAUUGGGCCCCAUGGAUGCUGCCUGACCUUUUACUGUGGGUGAAUGUCUAUGCUCCUAUCUAAAUCCAAUAGCUUCUUAUUGUGCACUGAACCCCAUUUCCUUACCUUCUCUAGGAUUGGGUUCUUUCAAAUUUAUCCUCUUUACUGUAUCAAUUUUCAUACCUACUAAGUUAUUCCCAUCAGUAUAUAGAUACUCUAUAAUAUCUCCUAUAUUAAAAACAAAAGCAGACUUUCUGGGUUUCAGGUCGGGCCUGGAAAGAGGUAGGUAACUGGGGCACCUGGGAGGCUCAGUCAGUUAAGCAUCUGCCUUCUGCUCAGGUCAUGAUCUUGAGGUCCUGGGAUCCAGCAGUCUCCCUGCUCAGGGGGAAAUCUGCUUAUCCCUCUUCCUCCGGCCCCUCCUCCGCCCCUGCUCCCGCCCCCACCCCAUCAUGUGCCUGCAUGGCUCAUGCGCGUCCUCUCACUCUCUCUCUCUCAAAUAAAUAAAAUCUUUUUUUUUAAAGAGGUAGGGCGCCUGGGUGGCUCAGAUGGUUAAGCGUCUGCCUUCGGCUCAGGUCAUGAUCCCAGAGUCCUGGGAUCGAGUCCUACAUCGGGCUCCCUGCUCCUUGGGAGCCUGCUUCUCCCUCUGCCUCUCUCUCUCUCUCUCUCUGUCUCUCAUGAAUAAAUAAAUAAAAUCUUAAGGGGCGCCUGAGUGGCUCAGUUGGUUAAGCGACUGCCUUCGGCUCAGGUCAUGAUCCCAGGGUCCUGGGAUCGAGUCCCACAUCGGGCUCCCGGCUCAGCGGGGAGCCUGCUUCUCCCUCUAACCCUCUCCUCUCUCAUGCUGUUUCUCUCUCGCUCGCUCUCUAAUAAAUAAAUAAAUAAAAUCUUUUAAAAAAAAAAAGAGGUAGGUAAUUAUCAGUCUGUCCACAAAAUAAGUAAAAAGCUGAACAAAUUAAAAAAUCAAUAAUUUUUCUUAGAUCCACCAGAGAAGCAAGGUCAUAGGCAAACCACUGCCUCCAAAUUUGAGAGACAGACAGGCAAAUAUAGAAAGUAACAACUUACUGGAGCAGAAACCUGCAUAAGAACCAUUGUUGCAAUAGGAAAACCUGAAUUGUAAUUGAUGAAUUACUGGAGGCCCGGUAUGGACAAGUCUGAGAGUUAAAAACUCCAGAGAGACUCAGUCCUCAGAGCCCCCCACAAUUUUGUGAGUUUUAUCUCUAGAAACUUGACUUGGUUCUCACAGUGAGUAUCAGAGAAAAAUCUGUUUGUGCUUCUGGCAGGGGUAAGAGAAAAGAGACUAUUUUGCAAGACCAUUCUCUUUUUAACAAGGCCUGCCCACAAGAGAAACUAUUUUAUAACCUAAGAUACUGAGAUUUUAUCAGAAGGGAAAUACCCAGUUCCAGCUAGCUCUAGCCUUCUCCUCAAGCUGGGAGAAGAGAAGUAGCCCACUCCAGCCCCCAUUAGCCAUCCUGUCCCACGGAGGGGGCAGCAAACACUGAGAUGCAUUUGUGGAAUUCGCAAUUUAGAGUGACUUACAAAAGACUGAGACCUAAUAGGACUAUAGAACCCUUUCCCUGCCCCCACACCUUACUACCACAUUACUAAAGGCCUAUUUACCACAGUUAACUUUACCUAGUAUAUCAUGUCUGGCCAUCAAGGAAAAAUUUAAAAGCAUAUUAAAAGGCAAAAAAAUACUGUUUGAAGAGACAGCAUGUGUUAGAACUAGACUCAGAUAUCUUAGGGAUGUGGGAAUUAUCAGACCAGGAGCUUAAAGCAAUUACGUUUAACAUGCUAAGAGCUCUAAUGGAUAAAGCAGAUAGUAUGCAAAAAGAGAUGGGCAAUGUAAGCAGAGAGGUGGAAAUUCUAAGAAAGAAAAAAUAGAAAUACUAGAGAUCAAAAAAGCUGUAACAGAAAUGAAGAAUGCCUUCAAUGUGCUUAUUGGUAGACUGGAUACAGCUGAGAAAAGAAUCUCUGAGCUUGAGGAGAUCUUAAUGGAAACCUCCAAAACUGAAAAACAAAGAGAAAAAAAAAAAAGAUUGUAGGGAAGAAAACAAAACAGAGAACAAAAUAUCCAAGAACUGUGGGACAAUUAUAAAAGGUGGAAUCUAUACAUAAUGGGAAUACUAGAAGGAGGAGAAAAAGAUAAAUGAAAGAGAGAAUAUCACUACAGAUUUCACAGACAUUUAAAGGAUAAUUACACCCUUCGCAAAAACUCAAAAUGGAUUAUAGACCAAAAUGUAAAACACAAAAUCAUAAAACUCCUAGAAGAUAAUACAGGAGAAAACCUGGGUGACCUUAGGUAUGGUGAUGAUUUUUUAGAUACAACACCAAAGGCAUGACUCAUGAAAGAAAAAAUCGGUAAGGUGGACUUCAUUAAAAUUAAGCACUUCUACUUUGCAAAAGACAAUAUCAAGAGAAUGAGAAAACAAGGCUCAGGGUAGGAGAAAAUAUUUCCAAAACAUAUCUGAUAAAGGACUGUUUUCCAAAAUACACAAAGAAUACUUAAAACUCAACUAUAAGAAAAUCAAGAACGGCAUUAAAAACAGAGUCAAAGACCUGAACACUCAAUCAAAGAAAAUAUAGAUGGCAAAUAAGCAUAUAAAAAGAUGCUCAACAUCAUAUGUCACUAGGGAAUUGUGAAUUGAAAUAAUGAGAAGACACUAUACACCUCACAGAAUGGUCAAAAUCCAGAACAAAUACCAAAAGCUGGUGAGGAUGUGGAGGAAUAGGAAUUGUCAUUGCUGGUAGGAAUGCAAAAUGAUACUUUGGAAGACAGUUUGACUAUUUCUUACCACACUAAACAUAUCUUAUCAUAAUAUCCAGCAAUUAUACUCCUUGGUAUUUACUCAAACAAGUGGAAAAGUUAUACCCACACAAAAACUUGCACAUAAAGAUGUUUAUAGCAGCUUUAUUCAUAAUGGCCCAAAUGUGGAAGCAAUCAAGAUGUCCUUCAGUGGUACACCCAGACAAUGGAAUAUUACUCAGUGCUAUAAAGAAAUGAGUUACUGAGCCAUGAAAAGACACAGAGGAACUUUAAGUACAUAUUACUAAGUGAAAGAAGCCAACUGGGAAAGGCUACAUACUGUAUGAUUCUAACUAUGUGACCUUCUAAGAAAAGGCAAAACUAUGGAGACAAUAAAAAGAUCAGUUGUUUCGGGGGUGGGGAGGUGGGGUGGAGGUUGGGGAUAUGAAUAGGCAGAGUACAGAGGAUUUUUAGAGAAUUUGGUUCUGGGAAAGUCAAACUAUGGAGAAAGUAAAAGGAUCAAUGGUUGCUAGGGUUUGGGAGAGAAGAAGAUGAACAAGUGAGCAUAGGAUGUUUAGGUCAGUGAAUCUAUUAGGUAGGACACUAUAAUGGUGGAUAUGUGUCUAAGCCCAUACAAUGUACAAUACCAAGAGUAACCCCAAUGUAAACUAUGAACUUAGAGUGAUAAUGAAAUGUCAAUAUAGGUUCAUCAACUAUAAUAAAUGUACCAAUCUGAUGUGGGGUUUUGAUAGUUGGGAGGGCUCUAUAUGUGUGUCCUCAGUGGGUAUGUGGGAAACCUCUGGCCCUUCUGCUCAAUUUUGCCAUAAAGGGAAGCUCAUCUAAAAAAUAAAGUAAUUUAAAAACAAAGCAAAACAAAAACAAAACAAAUAGAAACAAAACAAAGAACCUCCCUGGACCUCACAUUCCCUUCCAGCUGCCACCUCACUUAUCUGCUCCCUUUUAGAGGAAAAUGCCUUACAAGAGCUGCCUGUGCUCACUAUUUCCCCUCUUCCCUUCUCUGGAAUCUAUUCGUACCCAGCUUUUGCCCUCACUACUGCACCAAAAUGUGAUGAGUUCUCAGUCCUCAUCUUCCUUGAAAUAUGAGUAGCUUUUGACACAGUGAUCAUUUCAGUUUUUUUGAUAGACUUACUUCACUUGGCUCCUGGGUUUAAUAUUCUCCUCCUUCCUUAUGGGCCACUCUUUCUUAAUCUCCUUUGCUAGUUUCCCCUCCUAUUCCUAAAUGCUAAUCACGGGAGUGGGCUGAGCUCACUUUGGUCUUCUUUUCUGUAUCUAUACUUACUCUCUUGGUGAUUUCAUCAAGACUCAUGGUUUUAAUUACUAUGGAUAACUGAGAAUGUCUCAAUUCAUAACACCCAAUUUAUGGGGCUGUGGGGAGAAUUAAGUAAGUUAAUAUCUACAAGGCACUUAAAUCUGUGUCUGGAACAGAGUAAGAACUUCUUAUAUAAUCAGCUAGAAACUUGCUAGCUGUCUAAUAGGCAUCAUAAAUGUUACAUAUUCAAAACCAAAUUUCCAAUUUUUCUCUUUUGGGUUCCCCCUCCUGUAGACUUUUCCAAACAUCAAUUACUUCCUAUCAUAUUCAUCAUCCAGUCUAUGAGAAAAUUUUGGUGGUUCUACCUUCAAAAUAUAUUCAGGACCCAACUCUUCCCAUUCUCAUCACUAUAUCCUUGCCCAAGGUACAAUCAUCACCUUCCACCUACUCUAUUGCAAAUUUACUGACCAGUCUCCCUGCUUUCUCUUAUCUCCCUUUGGUCUAGUUCAACACAGCAACCAAAGUGCUCCUCUUAAAAUGUAAGUCAGAUCAUGUCUCUCUUUUGUUCUAAAUCCUCCAAGGGCUGUACAUCUUACUCAGGGCAAAAGGUUAGAUUAAUUGGCCUUGUGCUCCUCUGAUUUCAUCUCUUAUCACUCUCUGUGUAGGUCACUCUAUACUUCAGCACAUUAGCCUCCUUGCUGUUUCCCAGCUAUACCAAAUAUAUUCCUCCCUCCAUUACUUUUGCAUUGGAUUUCCCUCUGCCUGGAAUAUCCUUCCUCCAGAUAAUCUGCUCAAAUGUCUGCUCAUCCCUUCUUGCCUUCUGUAGUAUCUCCCUCAAAAAAUUUUCCUCUCUCUUGCAGUAUCAUGGCCACCAGGAGAGGACCUAGCCUGUAGAUUAAGUUAAAACUUCAAAACCAUGUUCUUGAUGAUAUCUUUUGAGCAUCUAGAUCAAGCCUUGCCUAAUGACAGCUGUAACCUUGGACUGUUAUAUGAGGCAAACAUGCCCUUUAGAGCUUAUUACCAUUUCUGGCAAACAAUUUGGAAGGCAAUGGAUGUGAAAAAUAUCAUUAUUAGUAUAGUUUAAUCGUAAUUUAUUAUUGUUCAUAUUUUAAUGCGGUAGAAUUGCAUAAUGAUGAGUAUUAGCAAAAAGAAAAUUGAAUUUGUGUAAAUAAAGGAUGGAGAAAUGUAUUGCUUAAUCUUUUCUUCUAAGACAUUAUUAUGUUGUACAACAUGAAGAGAAAAGAGAAAAGACAGGGGAAGGAGACAAAGGGAAGGGAGCUGACAGCUAUAAAUUCUUAGGCCUUGUGCUAAGUGCUUCACAUGCAUUUUCUUCUUCAAAACUCAGCAUCCCCAGAGCAAACAUUUUCUUCCACACUCUACAGAUGAGGAAGGGCAUAAGGUUAAGGU